UCCCUGGUGGUCCAGUGGCUAAGAGUCCGUACUCCCAAUGCGGGACCCAGGUUCGAUCCCUGGUCAGGGAA
Molecule: non-coding RNA, 71 nt
Organism: Ovis aries (sheep)
Lineage: Eukaryota; Metazoa; Chordata; Mammalia; Artiodactyla; Bovidae
Source: Rfam